This 1211-nucleotide ribosomal RNA is filed under the name Paenibacillus violae. RNAcentral's name for it is "partial 23S ribosomal RNA". It matches the Rfam family "Bacterial large subunit ribosomal RNA", at positions 1 to 1211 of the family's 2925-position model. Lineage: Bacteria; Bacillati; Bacillota; Bacilli; Caryophanales; Paenibacillaceae. The record is from RNAcentral.
GGUUAAGCUAGAAAGAGCACACGGAGGAUGCCUAGGCACUAGGAGCCGAAGAAGGACGUGGCGAACGACGAAAUGCCUCGGGGAGCCGUAAGCAGGCUUUGAUCCGGGGAUGUCCGAAUGGGGGAACCCAGCUGUGGUAAUGCGCAGUUACUCAAUAGUGAAUACAUAGCUAUUGUAGAGGCAGACCCAGGGAACUGAAACAUCUAAGUACCUGGAGGAAAAGAAAACAAAAGUGAUUCCGUCAGUAGCGGCGAGCGAAAGCGGAAUAGCCCAAACCAAGGAGCUUGCUCCUUGGGGUUGUAGGACCUCAAUAUGGGGUUAGUUUGGUAGGCGAAGUGAUCUGGAAAGGUCCGGCAUAGAAGGUAAAAGCCCUGUAGCUUAAAUCGAACGAAACCCCUAGAGGUAUCCUGAGUACGGCGGGUCACGUGAAACCCCGUCGGAAUCCGGCAGGACCAUCUGCCAAGGCUAAAUACUCCCUAGUGACCGAUAGUGAAGCAGUACCGUGAGGGAAAGGUGAAAAGCACCGCGGAAGCGGAGUGAAAAAGAACCUGAAACCGUGUGCUUACAAAAAGUCAGAGCCCUCUAUAUGGGUGAUGGCGUGCCUUUUGUAGAAUGAACCGGCGAGUUACGUUCCCGUGCGAGGUUAAGUCGAAAAGACGGAGCCGCAGCGAAAGCGAGUCUGAAUAGGGCGCUUGAGUACGUGGACGUAGACCCGAAACCGUGUGAUCUACCCCUGUCCAGGGUGAAGGUGAGGUAACACUCACUGGAGGCCCGAACCCACGAAUGUUGAAAAAUUCGGGGAUGAGGUGGGGGUAGCGGAGAAAUUCCAAUCGAACUCGGAGAUAGCUGGUUCUCCCCGAAAUAGCUUUAGGGCUAGCCUCGGAUGUUGUGAGUUGUGGAGGUAAAGCACUGAUUGGGUGCGGGGCCCGCCAAGGGUUACCAAGUCCAGUCAAACUCUGAAUGCCACAAACUUAAAUCCGGGAGUCAGACAGUGAGUGCUAAGAUCCAUUGUCAAAAGGGAAACAGCCCAGACCAUCAGCUAAGGUCCCCAAGUGUGUGUUAAGUGGGAAAGGAUGUGGAGUUGCACAGACAACCAGGAUGUUGGCUUAGAAGCAGCCACCAUUGAAAGAGUGCGUAAUAGCUCACUGGUCGAGUGACUCUGCGCCGAAAAUGUAACGGGGCUAAACACGCCACCGAAGCUAUGGCUUGCA